GCGAACAUGAUGGAAUUGGUAAACAUACUUUUUUUAAGCAGAAGUGGAUUUAAUCCUUAAGAGUUCGAGUCUCUUUGUUCGUA
Molecule: transfer RNA, 83 nt
Filed under: Sphaerobolus stellatus
Lineage: Eukaryota; Fungi; Basidiomycota; Agaricomycetes; Geastrales; Sphaerobolaceae
Description: tRNA-Leu
Rfam family: tRNA
About the family: Transfer RNA (tRNA) molecules are approximately 80 nucleotides in length. Their secondary structure includes four short double-helical elements and three loops (D, anti-codon, and T loops).
Source: RNAcentral